RNAcentral lists this ribosomal RNA (462 nucleotides) under uncultured bacterium. Its description in RNAcentral is "partial 16S ribosomal RNA". It matches the Rfam family "Bacterial small subunit ribosomal RNA", at positions 28 to 507 of the family's 1533-position model. The record is from RNAcentral.
GACGAACGCUGGCGGCGUGCUUAACACAUGCAAGUCGAGCGGAAACGCCCUUCAGGGUACUCGAGCGGCCAACGGGUGAGUAACACCUUAGUAACCUACCCCCGACUUUGUGAUAACCCUCCGAAACGUGGGCUCAUCCCCGAUACCCCACAGCUUCACUUGGGGUCUUUGUAGAAAGUUUUUCGGUUUGGGAUUGGCUCGCGGCCUAUCAUCUUGUUGGUUGGGUGAUGGCCUACCAAGGCGCCGACGGGUAGCCGGCCUGAGAGGGCGACCGGCCACACUGCGACUGAGAAAAGGCCGAGACAGAUACGAGAAGCAGCAGUGGGGAAGAUUGCAGAAUGGGCGGAAGCCUGAGGCAGAGAGGCGGCGUAAGGGAUGACGACCUUUGGGUUGUAAACCUAUUUCGGCAGGGACGAAGCGUAAGUGACGGUACCUGCAGAAGAAGCGCCGGCUAACUACGUG